Long non-coding RNA from Dromaius novaehollandiae (emu), 3819 nucleotides. RefSeq lists it as uncharacterized. The record is from RefSeq and is a predicted model, not a curated record. The transcript has 2 exons. NCBI's taxonomy places the organism in Eukaryota, Metazoa, Chordata, Aves, Casuariiformes, Dromaiidae.
GUCUCUCAUUUAAAGUACGCUCUCAAAUCCUUGAACCAUUGUCAUGGAACUUCUGCAAAUUCUUUCCAGGUUAGAAAUCAUCGUCUUGCAUUCUGGACACAGGCAUCAAAAUCAAGAGCAGCUGCGGCCGCUGUAAAAUACUCAGCUUGCAGUUGUUGAAGCGUGCCUAUUAUUCCUUGAAAAAGGAAACAUCUGUCCCUAACUUUCCUGAACUAUGGCCUUCUUCCAAUAACGCAGACAGAAAUACUUCAGCAAGAUCUUCGGUCAACUGCAACGUUUCCAAUAAGUAAAAGCACCCAUUCAGUCGCUCCCAGAUCCUCUCCCUGAUGGCAGCUGCAUAAUUCAAGCAAUCAUUUGAUAUCUCCAAUGCAUUUAUAUCAGUAUUUGCCGUGACAACAUUGCUUUCACAUCUCCUUUACUGGGAAGGGGCCCUGUUAUUCUGAAGCACGUACUUUUUGAACCACUCCUCUUCCAGAUCCAUUAAGAUCAACAACCCUGUCAGAGAUUAGAAAAGGAUCAGCAAAUUCCAAAGACGACGCAAUGACAGGAAUAGAAGACACGAAAAAAACUGUACAAAGGGAACAACGAUUCAGAGUCCAUCUUCUCCAUGUAAGGAACCCCCAGACCGGCGGUUGUGUUGACUUGACGGCGCUACCCAUCCCUCAGCACUGACAGCGGACUAGAAGACGGAAGACCAUGGCUCUUUCGGUUGCUGGGAGUAUAACGUCAACAUCAUUUUUCAACUUGAUCUUAAGUUGUCCUCGCUCCCCCCUCAGGAGACGGUGCCUUGCGGAAGAUGCAGGCUGCUCAGAUGGCUGCGGGAAAGGAUGGGAGCACGAGCGCAUGGUUUUCGUCCCUGGCUCUGCCAGACCCCGUCUGAUGUCUGCGUAUGCACCAUAGCGCAUAUUAAUGCCUGCGUAUCAAGCCCCUCGUCUGUGAGCCUCAAGUGGUAACAUCCACAAAUAAGCAAUUAACGUAUGUCAAGCGUUUUUAUUCCUAAAACUGACACCAUUGUGGAGGUGGUAGAGCAUUGUACUGAUGACAAAAGUUACAUAACGCUCCUAUGUCAUUGCACAUAAGGUUUUAUUCCACUCUGUUUGUUGCUGGUUCUUUUAAGAGAAAUUUAUGAGAAACUAUUCGCCGACAAUUUGGACACCACUCGGUGCAUAUUUCCUCACCGGACCUUGUGCAGUCUCUGAGACAGCUGCAGACAGCCGCCGAAACCGCGGUCCCCCAGGUCCCUGCGGAGCGAGCGCUGCCCGCGCGGGCAGCAGGGCCGGGGAAGGCAGCCCUGGCGUUUGCUGCGAGCCGCGGCCCAGCCACGAGCCACUUAGAGAUGCCGACACGGGGGGCUCCGGUGCUCCCGUGCGUCCCUCACGUCUGCCCCCAGCCAGGAGGAGGGGGAACGCAGCGCGAAGGGGCCGUGGCCUCCCAUCAGCGGGAAAACGCUGCUUUCCCAGCCCAUCCGGGGCAAGGCAUAACCACGGGACACAUGAAAGCAGCUACUUUCCUCAGCAGGAGACUGCACUGAACCCAGUUCAAUAUAAGCCCUCUGGCAUGGAAGGAAAAAAAAAGAUAAAAUAAUAAGAAACCACAAAAAAAUUUAAUCCUUUCAUUAAAAGGAUAUUACUGAAAAAGCGCCAGGAGACAGCGCUUGCUUUUAAAGCAAGAGUGCUCCAUGCAUUUAAACUCACGGCUCAGUCAGGUUACUCUGUUAUGUUAAUGUCUGUAUCAAAAGCCAGAAGCUAUGUAACAGCUAAGUACAGCUAAAUUAAUAAGCAUUUCAAAAACAAACAAACUAAAAUAACCCAGCUGGACUGAAGUCAAAGGUAUUCUCUUAAAAUACAUUGCAAGGGUCACCAACAAUUAAAUAUAAUUUUAUAAUUUGGAGGAUUUGUUUACAGUGUUACUCGACCAUUAUAGCCGACACAAAGAAAAUCAUUCUCCCAUUUUUACAGAUAAGGUUGUUUGUAUAAACACGUUAAUUGCCACGCACAGACUCCUACUCCGAGGCCUGCCAAAAGGCAAAACCCGCCUGGCAAAACCUCAUCACGUGCCACUGAGGAGGGCCCAAACCUCCACGCUGCACUGCCCCAGCCUGCAGGAAGGGCCUGGCCACCUCCCGCGGCUCGCAGGGCGGCCGGGACGGCUGUCAGAGCAGACCGCCUCGCUAGCCGGCCCUGCCGGCGAGGACAAGGACAAACAAAGCUGUCUCAUGGGAAACGGGCAGCCCGUAGCAGGGUUUGACACGCUGCCGGUAAAUGAAAAUGGAAAACCAGAAAAGUAAAUUGACUCAGUAACUUCCCUAUCGCCACAUCCUUUUCACCUCCAAGAGCAUCUUGAAAAAAAAAAGAAUAUAUAUAUAUAUUUAUUUGGUGGUAGGCAGAAAAAACAAAAACCAGGCUUCCCGUAAGCAGGUAUGCCGGCAAACGGAGGAGACCCGAGCUGCCUCGCGCAGGGCUCAGCAGGUCCAGCUGCACGGGAGCAUCUUCGGCAAUCCCGGGGCUCCCCAAAGCUGCCAAGGAAAUGACUCUUCGUAAAGCAGGGAAGAGGAAGGCCCCUGCUCUGCGCAAAGGCCUCCCCCGGAGCUGCGCGAGGGCAAGCACGUUUCUGCUGCACAGCACAGGGUGACUCUCAGGGACGAGGUCACAGCGAUGGGGUAACCUUGGCUUAGUGUUUCUUCCUUUAUUUGUCUCCUCUUGGCUUUCCGGACGAAACAGCUCACGUCCCAUUUGUUACUUCACUAUACGUGUGUUUGCCCAAGGUGAGGAAAAGGUUCCGACCUGCGGCUAAGCGCUGACCUCGACUGCUUCACGAACGGACUACUUCAAUAACGAAACGGGGAAAAAUCCCAGCAGACUCGCGCUGCGCAAGAGCCGCUGGAGCGGAGAGAAGCGCAGGGAGGAGGAAGAGCUGAAGCGUGGGACAAGGAAAGGGAACAAGAGGGAAGGGCCCGAAAGGAAGGCAAGGAGAGAAGGUGGAACAGCGAGGACUGUGAAGACACGGUGGGAAAUAAACCAAGAUGAAUGAUGGGAGAUAAAAGAGAAGCACCAGAUUGAUUGUAUUUAGUCCUGACUGACUCAUAAAAGGAAGUAAUAAAUCAAAUAUCGUAUAUUCAUUUACAUCAAUGAAAAUCAAUUUGAAAGACAAUCCAAAUUAGUUUCAUACUACCCGGGCUACAGCAGCCUACAAAAUCUAGCUAGAGCUAUCAGAUAAAUGAAAAGGUCUCUUCCUUUUUGAAUAUUAUAAAUAUAUACAAGAGUUUUCAAAAAAAUUCUACUGUUUCAACUCCUACAAUAUGCAGUUGAUGUAGAUUAAAUUUAAACUUCUCAGAGUUGCUUAUCCGCUUUGGGCUAAUUUAAGCGGAUAUUGCUUUUUUGGAUGCGACUGCUCAUUUCUUGCACUUAAUUAUCACAGCAAGCAAGACUGAAGAAAACAUUGCAUACACUGCAGUACUCUUUAAUCUGGAUACUUACAGAUACUAUUGAAAGAAGAACAUAGAUCGAAAAUGCUCAGUCUUGUUUUCCUUAUCGUUUUCCUCCUGACAAGCGUUACCGUAUCUUGCAUUCUGGUUCACCGCUGCAUUUCUUAACAGUCCCUUUCAGAUCUCACACGGUUAUAACGAGUGAUUCCCCACCUAUUUGACCAUGGUUCACCUACACUUAGUUUAUGGUGUUUCAAUAGUGUAUUUGGCACUUUCGCCACCAUGAACUGUCAUUAAGUUGUAAAUCAACUGAAAUAUUAUUAAUUGAAAAAUCUAUUUUAAAAUGUAUAACAGUGCAUCAGAGAAUACUGCAAAUAAAGAUAUCCUCUUACUAA